Molecule: long non-coding RNA, 311 nt
Filed under: Lathyrus oleraceus (garden pea)
Lineage: Eukaryota; Viridiplantae; Streptophyta; Magnoliopsida; Fabales; Fabaceae
Description: Pisum sativum (pea) long non-coding RNA (PSAT_LNC000286)
Source: RNAcentral
UAUCCAGAAUGCUAAGGGAAAUAAGUAUAGCACAAAAUAUGCCUCUCAAGUCUUAAACGGAUAAGGUGUUUGAAAAUUACCUUGCACUAGACAGGAAAAGGUUUAACCCUUUCACAGAAAAUUUUACAUCUGCAUUCGCAGAAACAGCAAGGGGCUUAACGCACAAAAUCUGACAAUUAUCUGGGCUUCCAAGACGCAAUGGCACAAAAGGUUUAACCCUUUCACAGAAAAUUUUACAUCUGCAUUCGCAGAAACAGCAAGGGGCUUAACGCACAAAAUCUGACAAUUAUCUGGGCUUCCAAGACGCAAUG